RNAcentral lists this ribosomal RNA (510 nucleotides) under Shewanella loihica. Its description in RNAcentral is "bacterial SSU rRNA". It matches the Rfam family "Bacterial small subunit ribosomal RNA", at positions 36 to 525 of the family's 1533-position model. The record is from RNAcentral. Lineage: Bacteria; Pseudomonadati; Pseudomonadota; Gammaproteobacteria; Alteromonadales; Shewanellaceae.
UAMMCSCYYUGGCCGGCCGGCCUAMMCAUGCAAGUCGAGCGGUWACAGGAAAGUAGCUUGCUACUUUGCUGACGAGCGGCGGACGGGUGAGUAAUGCCUGGGAAUUUGCCCAUUCGAGGGGGAUAACAGUUGGAAACGACUGCUAAUACCGCAUACGCCCUACGGGGGAAAGGAGGGGACCUUCGGGCCUUCCGCGAAUGGAUAAGCCCAGGUGGGAUUAGCUAGUAGGUGAGGUAAUGGCUCACCUAGGCGACGAUCCCUAGCUGUUCUGAGAGGAUGAUCAGCCACACUGGGACUGAGACACGGCCCAGACUCCUACGGGAGGCAGCAGUGGGGAAUAUUGCACAAUGGGCGAAAGCCUGAUGCAGCCAUGCCGCGUGUGUGAAGAAGGCCUUCGGGUUGUAAAGCACUUUCAGCGAGGAGGAAAGGUUACUGGCUAAUAUCCAGUAGCUGUGACGUUACUCGCAGAAGAAGCACCGGCUAACUCCGUGCCAGCAGCCGCGKUUAWUA